AACGUAGGAGACGAACGUUAUCCGGAGUUACUGGGCGUAAAGGGCGUGUAGGCGGCUUGUUAAGUCUGGCGUGAAAGCUCUCGGCUAAACCGGGAGAGGUCGUUGGAUACUGGCGAACUUGAGGAUGGUAGAGGCGUGUGGAAUUCCGGGUGUAGUGGUGAAAUGCUUAGAUAUCAAGAGGAACACCUGCGGCGAAGGCGGGUUGCUGGGCCGACACUGACGCUGAGGCGCGAAAGCUAGGGGAGCGAACGGG
This 253-nucleotide ribosomal RNA is filed under the name uncultured bacterium. RNAcentral's name for it is "partial 16S ribosomal RNA". It matches the Rfam family "Bacterial small subunit ribosomal RNA", at positions 524 to 776 of the family's 1533-position model. The record is from RNAcentral.